RNAcentral lists this ribosomal RNA (353 nucleotides) under Pseudomonas aeruginosa. RNAcentral describes it as "bacterial SSU rRNA". It matches the Rfam family "Bacterial small subunit ribosomal RNA", at positions 1189 to 1533 of the family's 1533-position model. The record is from RNAcentral. Lineage: Bacteria; Pseudomonadati; Pseudomonadota; Gammaproteobacteria; Pseudomonadales; Pseudomonadaceae.
GUCAUCAUGGCCCUUACGGCCAGGGCUACACACGUGCUACAAUGGUCGGUACAAAGGGUUGCCAAGCCGCGAGGUGGAGCUAAUCCCAUAAAACCGAUCGUAGUCCGGAUCGCAGUCUGCAACUCGACUGCGUGAAGUCGGAAUCGCUAGUAAUCGUGAAUCAGAAUGUCACGGUGAAUACGUUCCCGGGCCUUGUACACACCGCCCGUCACACCAUGGGAGUGGGUUGCUCCAGAAGUAGCUAGUCUAACCGCAAGGGGGACGGUUACCACGGAGUGAUUCAUGACUGGGGUGAAGUCGUAACAAGGUAGCCGUAGGGGAACCUGCGGCUGGAUCACCUCCUUAAUCGAAGA